RNAcentral lists this long non-coding RNA (210 nucleotides) under Elaeis guineensis (African oil palm). Its description in RNAcentral is "long non-coding RNA (EGUI_LNC052247)". The record is from RNAcentral. Lineage: Eukaryota; Viridiplantae; Streptophyta; Magnoliopsida; Arecales; Arecaceae.
GGGGCAUAAAAAAAGGGAUAAGGUGCAAAGAUUGAUUGCCUAUUCAAAUUCAAACUUUAUUUUGAAUUUGAAUGGCCAACCAAUCAUCCUUAUCCAUUCAUUUGGCACAUUAAAGUGGGGUGUGGAGAGGGCUUGGCGUGAGGAAAUAAUUCAUGAGAAGUUCCUUCUCAUGAAUUCAAAUGGAUGCAAUGAAAGUGAGGUGGCGCAUGG